Molecule: ribosomal RNA, 198 nt
Filed under: uncultured Actinomycetes bacterium
Lineage: Bacteria; Bacillati; Actinomycetota; Actinomycetes
Description: uncultured actinobacterium partial 16S ribosomal RNA
Rfam family: Bacterial small subunit ribosomal RNA
Source: RNAcentral
AGGUGGUGCAUGGUUGUCGUCAGCUCGUGUCGUGAGAUGUUGGGUUAAGUCCCGCAACGAGCGCAACCCUUGUUCCAUGUUGCCAGCACGUGAUGGUGGGGACUCAUGGGAGACUGCCGGGGUCAACUCGGAGGAAGGUGGGGAUGACGUCAAAUCAUCAUGCCCCUUAUGUCCUGGGCUUCAAACAUGCUACAAUGG